AAUCUGAUUCGUAGGUGACCUGCGGAAGGACAUU
Molecule: ribosomal RNA, 34 nt
Filed under: Ramalina pertusa
Lineage: Eukaryota; Fungi; Ascomycota; Lecanoromycetes; Lecanorales; Ramalinaceae
Description: partial 18S ribosomal RNA
Source: RNAcentral